This is a long non-coding RNA of Chelonia mydas (Green sea turtle), 1526 nucleotides long. RefSeq lists it as uncharacterized. The transcript has 6 exons. The record is from RefSeq and is a predicted model, not a curated record. Lineage: Eukaryota; Metazoa; Chordata; Testudines; Cheloniidae.
AGCAUGGAGAAGUUAGACCACUUUGACUCUAUCAUCACUUUGCUGCCCUAUACCUAAGACUUAAUGUGUUUUCAUCAAGCACAAGUAAUACAGGCUGCUGGAUGAUAACAAGAACAUUUUUUAGUGCAGGAGCAGGUACAGGAGGGAUUGGCACUUUGGCUGAUUAAAAAUCAAACCUCUCAAAAAGGCUGGCAGAAAAUAGAAUGACAUUUGUCAUCAGAAAAGAACUGCAAAGAAAUAAAAGUUAUAGAGACAUAGCUUCAGCUAGUUUAUAUUGGCAGUGCUCCAGUGAAGUCAGGGGAAAAAUUCUGAUGUACUCCAGCUGAGGUGUUGGCCAUAGGCUAUAAGAAGCCUGAAAAUGAUGUUUCCAUUUAAAUGAUAGCGUAUCCAUCAGGGAUCCAUGAGGGUUAGGUUGUAUAAGACGACUUUAUCCUAAACACCUGGCUGCUUCUGCUCAACCAGUGCCAAGCAAUCAAACAGCAGUGACCUCUGUGACUUGAAGACUUCCUAGAUCUGACUUAAUUGAAGAUCAGCCUGAAUGAAAAUGAAUUUCAAAAGUGCUCUGUGGUUUGUGAUUUCUGUUGAAACUCUCCUGAGUUUCUCAAGUCUCAGGAAUGGAGAUGAUCCUGUCCUUCAACUAUACCAUGAAGUGUUUUAGUUCAACCCGCCUGGUUAACUGACUGACCUGUUUCCUACUUAGCUCCUCAGCGAGUGGAUGAAUGAUCUGGUUCCCCAUCCUACUUCAGUGGGUCAGCAAUGAAGACUCACUCCCUCUUAAAUCCUCUUAGUAUCUUCUGAGAUGGCAGGCCCUGUCCCCACUCCUAUUUAUUUCCAGGAGAACCAGGAAAUACUCCAAUCUGUUUUUAUGAGCACUUUGGGCCUCAAAGUGAAACCCAGUAGUCAUCCGAGUCCUUUGGAAUUUCCCUUUUCAACAUUUACCCCCAGGCAUGGAAGCUUCUCUUAUAAUGAGUAUGGUAGCAAGGAGAGAAGUAAAUUGUGGGAUGAGAUUUGCUUUGGCAAAACGUCUGAAGAGCAACAGGGGAACAGGCAUGAUUUAAUGAAUGAUAGGUGUAUCCUGAAAUAAAUGCACAUUUUGAGUCCUCCAGUCUGAGACAGAUCUAACAUUUGUGGGAGGCUUUGAAGGGAAGAAUGUACUUCUAUCUUCUAACAAAGGAGGGGUGUGAACCUUUGUAUCGGUCAGGAUUCUGGAGAACGUGGUAGCCAUCCUUCUGGAGCUGGGCCACAGAAGGCCUAUGGAGGUAACAUAUAUGGACAUAAAGAGCUAAUGGACCAUUAGUUAGAGCUGCGAAACCCUUAGAAACUGGCAGAUUUAGCCCCAUUUUCAUAUUUGUGAACUGUCCAUGAACAAUCUGAAAACAGUCUGAAAUUUUUACGGACACCUAGCUUUAACUACACUAUCUGUCUACCUAUAAUAAAUAAAACAAUUGACAUUUGUGUGAAACUUGCAUUUUGUUUUUACCCAGGUGUGAUGCAGAUGCACACCUUCUGCUCCCAGCCUUCCCACA